AGACAUUGUUGAACUUUUUGGGUGGCUCUGAUCUGAUGCCACCAGUCUAUUACCUGCCCUAGCUGAAGUUGGUCUCCAAGAGAUAUAAAUUUGGGGAGAGGGCUAAAACACCAUUAAACAAAUUGUCUCCUGAUUGCACCCUGUCUGGAAUAUUAUUACUCAGCAGCAUAAAAGAGAAGUGUUAGGAGCUGCUCUUAACCCUUUGGAGUCGGAAGAGAAAAGGGAACUAGAGGGCUUGACUUCUCCUUUACCUCCUGCAUUUACUCUGACCACAGUCCCUCCCUGUUCUCACAAGUGGAGCUCAGCCCUGCUUCCCUUCCUGUUGAUUCCCAGUCAGCUACAUGACUGCCUGAAGUUAAAUUUUAGAUGCUGAAAUCACUGCACCUUAGAAACAAAAAGAUUAAGCUGCACUGCAUUUCUGUAAGUAAAAGCUUUUCCGGUACCUUUUGUCAGUAUUUCUCUGAAUACAGUGCACACAAUAAAA
RNAcentral lists this long non-coding RNA (484 nucleotides) under Gopherus agassizii (Agassiz's desert tortoise). RNAcentral describes it as "lncRNA (ENSGAGG00000020799.1)". Lineage: Eukaryota; Metazoa; Chordata; Testudines; Testudinidae. The record is from RNAcentral.